UGUAUUUAAAAAGCCUUUGGAAGAAGAAAUCCAGACUGUGGAAAGGUUGAAUACAACUCCUUCAAAACCUCUCCACUUUCUUCCGACUUCAUUCUAAAAUGGUGAGAAUAACCAAAGCCCUUCUGAAGGAAGCGACCUCUGGUUUCACCAACACGCUCUCCCAAAUCCUUGUCUGCCCCCUCUCCAAACAACCUCUAAGGUAUUGUGCGGCCUCGAAUUCUCUCAUCAGCGAUACGAUUGGUGUUUCUUUCCCUAUAAGGGACGGAAUUCCUUGUUUGGUGCCGAAGGAAGGAAGAAUAAUUGAAAAUGAUGAUGCAUUGAAAGAUGAGGAUACUGUUGAGAUUACUCGAGAAAAAUGAGCACUGUUUAGUUUGGGGGUCGAAGACAGUUUUUAUUUCUUGAGCUCAAUAAUCAGAAGAGAUGUCAACAUAACGCCACAACACUUCACACUUGUAUUUGUGAUUUGAUAAUUGAUAAUAUUUUUCUUCCAUGAGGUGAGAAGAACGGGGAAACAGGCGGUGCCAUAGUCACGAUAGUUAUGGUUAUGGCUAUUAUCGUUAUUAUUAUAGUUUUCUACCUUUACCAAUUUACUGUUUUUCAAAUUGUAUAGUGGGCACCAUCUCAUUGAGUUCUUGAUAGUUAAAUGGGGGUUGAAGUGUGAAAAACUCUUUGAUGGGUUUGCAUUCAUGCCAUCGCAAAAGGCAUCAAAGUUGAGUGGCAAUAUUCAAUUGGCUGAGAUUGUUCUCAAUUCGGAACCAGUCAAGGUUAUGCAAUACAUUUAUAUUAAUUUUGUGAAACUCUUUUUUUAGUAGAGCUUCGUAACCUGAUUUAGGAGACUUCUUGUGUAAAAUGACGAUGUUCAAGUGUUUGGUUUAGUUGUUAAUUUCAUUCUUCACCCUUGUUGAUGCGAGUGAGAAUAAAUUAUCCCGUCCAUUUUAGGUGAUCUUGUAAUAA
RNA transcript from Cucumis sativus (cucumber), 954 nucleotides. It is a transcript of the gene named UPF0434 protein Ecaj_0131, with no coding region annotated. The record is from RefSeq and is a predicted model, not a curated record. The transcript is spliced from 4 exons. NCBI's taxonomy places the organism in Eukaryota, Viridiplantae, Streptophyta, Magnoliopsida, Cucurbitales, Cucurbitaceae.